AGGUCAUCUGUAUUAAAAAAAAAAUCCAAAAAACAACUUUUGAUUGUAUAUCCCAGGAGAAAGUCUGGGAGCCAAAGAAAAGAUUUUAAUUCACUCUAUUCUCUUAACCCUGGACAGGGAAAUCAUAGCACAUUGCCAGAGGAAAAUCAGGAAGCCCAGGCUUGGGCUGAGCCUCUGGGUGGAUUUCUUAAGCCCGAAGAUUAUCCUAAAUUCCAGCCGUCAGACUCCAAGGACAGUGCACUGCUUCCCAAAAUUGUCUCCACGUGUUCAUUACAUCUGUGUACCAAACCAGGUAGCACUGCUACCUCAUAUUUCAAAAAUACUACGACAGAACACGAAAAAGUCUUACCACCAGGAGAAACCACUCUGGCAAAUAACCAUGAUGUGAGGCAUUGCCCACCAUUACUGCAAAAUGAGAGCAUGAACCCACAUACUCCAUCAUCUUUCUGCAUUGUUUCCAAUUCUGCGAUGCCAGGAAGAGUAGAAACCACACUGCAAAGCAACAAUCCGGAGGCAACGAGUACCCCAACUCUAUUGAAGAAUGACAUUAACCAGUGCUCUGCACCUUCAUCUGCUGGUAUUUUACCUAAUUUUGGUGAGUUUCAGAUGAUGCUUGUUACAAGUAGCACUGUUGAAUCUGGACCCAUCAGUACCCUUAGCGUAAGCUGGUUGUAGCUCGUUUUCACAAUUACAUUUUUUAAGUGACUUGAGAUUCACAGGUAUAUGUCAGAAAUAAUACGAAGUGGUGGCCUUUACACUUUACCCAUUUCUCCCAGCAGUAAAUAAUCUUCCAAAAACACAAUCAAGAUAUUGAAACUGAUGUGAUUCACAGUCAUUACUGAGAUGCCUCUGGGUUUACUUGUAGUAAUUUGUGUGUGUUUAUGUUUAUUUCCAUGUAAAGUUCUUACUUGAGUAGGUUUGAUUUUUUCCACCACAGUGAAGAUAUGGAGCGUUUUCUUUACCACCAGGUGGCCUCAUCUUGCUCUUUUAUAACCACGCCCACCUCUCUAUCCUUUGUGACUGCCUGUUCCCUAAUCCAUGGUUAAUAGUGGUCUUUAUAAUUUUUUUUUCUCAGUCAGCAUAAAUGCCUGAAGACUCACAUAGGUUGUGGUGGGUGUCAAUACUUUCUCACACUUUAAACAUUAUUGAUUUAUUUCCAAGCCCACUCCCCCCCACCUUGCCUCACACUCACAUACAUAGCUCUUCUGUCCACUGGUUCACUACCCACAGGCCCACAACAGCUGUGACUGGGCCAGGCUGAAGCCAGGAACCCAGACUCAGCCCAGGUCUCCUAUGUGGGCAUCAGGGACCCAAGUACUUGAGCCAUCACCUGCUGCCUCACUACAUGUGCAUUAGCAGGAAGCUGGCUUGGAAGCAGAGCCAUGGGUUGAACCCAGGCACUGUAUCGGGUAUGAGCAUCCCAAUGGCUUCUUAACCCUGUGCCAAAUGCUUGUCCCGGUUCCUCCCUUGUUAUUCCUGAGUAGUUUUAUCAACCUGCCCUUUGAUAGCCAUACCACACUCUCUUGGGGAAUCCCUUCCCUGCCCCAAUGGUAUGAUCUUUCUUUCCUCUGUUCUUCCUUCCUUCCUGCUGCUCCACGUUUCUUUACUUCAUCACACCCUUUCUGUUUGAGGACCUCCCUUUAGUCUUCUUAUGGGUAAGUCUGCUAGAGACAGGUUCAGUUAGUUUUCCUUUGUAUGCAAAUACCUUUUUUCAUCUUUUCUAGAUGAAAGAAACACUCAUGAUUCAGUGUUAUUUUUUUCAGGAGUUGAAAAAGUUGUCCUCAUAGAAGUGCCAGAAGAUGGAGAAAAUGUGCUGAAAGACAGCUCUGAGACAAGAUAUUACCCAGCUUUAUUGGGAAAUAUCGUUCCCACCAAUGUUGAUCCUUCAUCUGGCACUGCUGUACCCUGUUUUGGUGAGUUUGAAAUGCUUCAUGUUCCAAGUAUUGAAUGUCGAUUCAGCAGCAUUCUUUAAUUAGUUCUUUGUGAUUGCUUUUGAAAAAUUAAACUUCUUAUUUUGAAUUGUUUUGGAACCAGAGGCUGCUGUCAAAUAAUACAGACAGCUCUUCUGUGUUCUUUACCUGGUUUCCCUCUAUAGUAAUAUUUUGCCAAAAUAUAAUAAAAUAUCAUAACCAGAUGUCGACA
Long non-coding RNA from Oryctolagus cuniculus (rabbit), 2142 nucleotides. NCBI's taxonomy places the organism in Eukaryota, Metazoa, Chordata, Mammalia, Lagomorpha, Leporidae. The record is from Ensembl.